This 340-nucleotide long non-coding RNA is filed under the name Numida meleagris (helmeted guineafowl). Its description in RNAcentral is "lncRNA (ENSNMEG00000000423.1)". The record is from RNAcentral. Lineage: Eukaryota; Metazoa; Chordata; Aves; Galliformes; Numididae.
ACUGAAUUUGUUUACUCUCCUCAGUUUGCAGAUGGGGAGGCAGAAGCACGUCAGUGAAGAGACUUGCCUGUUGUCAGCUGUGGUGAGGCAUUGAUCCAAGCAGUCCUGAUUUCCAGGCACCGCUUUAACCCGUCAGGGAUUGUGGGGCCUUCCUGAAGGUAAUGAAGAAAUGAAGCUUCACAGCCCCUGCAUAAUGUUGAGGAGAGUUCUCUCCAUUUUGUAGAUGGGUAAGUGAGACAAUAGAAUGGUUUCCAGAGUGCUUCAGGUCUGUGAUAUGAAGCCUAGGUCAGAUCUCUAAAUCUCUCCCAUGUUUCUUAAACAUGCAGCAGCUUUCCAGCCA